RNAcentral lists this ribosomal RNA (386 nucleotides) under Chlorochytrium sp. CCAP 212/1. RNAcentral's name for it is "SSU rRNA". It matches the Rfam family "Eukaryotic small subunit ribosomal RNA", at positions 663 to 1052 of the family's 1831-position model. Lineage: Eukaryota; Viridiplantae; Chlorophyta; Chlorophyceae; Chlamydomonadales; Chlorochytriaceae. The record is from RNAcentral.
UCCGCCUAUGGUGAGUACUGCUGCGGCCUACCUUUCUGCCAGGGACGGGCUCUUAGGCUUAAUUGUCUGGGACUCGGAGCUGGCGUUGUCACUUUGAGAAAAUUAGAGUGUUCAAAGCAAGCUUACGCUCUGAAUACUUUAGCAUGGAAUGACACGAUAGGACUCUGGCCUAUCUUGUUGGUCUGUAGGACCGGAGUAAUGAUUAAGAGGGACAGUCGGGGGCAUUCGUAUUUCAUUGUCAGAGGUGAAAUUCUUGGAUUUAUGAAAGACGAACUACUGCGAAAGCAUUUGCCAAGGAUGUUUUCAUUAAUCAAGAACGAAAGUUGGGGGCUCGAAGACGAUUAGAUACCGUCGUAGUCUCAACCAUAAACGAUGCCGACUAGGGA